UGAGGAGAAUGAAGGCUCUGGGAAUUUAUUUUCAUCGUGGACCGGACUUUUUAUCAGCCAGGAAAAAGAUCUCUUGCAGGAGAGGAAAGUCGUCCGCGACAAUGGCUUCUCCUUGCUCUUGUUGCACUGAAGCUUUGAGAACUGCUAGAAGCACCCGCGCUGCGGGAAGACAGCUGAACAUCCUUGCCUCUCCAGGAUGCCCUCAAAGGAGGCGAGUUGCUGCUACGCCGCCCUUGA
RNAcentral lists this long non-coding RNA (237 nucleotides) under Homo sapiens (human). RNAcentral describes it as "HSALNT0137633". The record is from RNAcentral. Lineage: Eukaryota; Metazoa; Chordata; Mammalia; Primates; Hominidae.